Molecule: non-coding RNA, 938 nt
Organism: Kogia breviceps (pygmy sperm whale)
Lineage: Eukaryota; Metazoa; Chordata; Mammalia; Artiodactyla; Physeteridae
Source: RefSeq, a predicted model, not a curated record
GAUAGGAGAUCUGACGAGAGGGGGCCUGGGGCAGGAAGGAGGAGACCGUGGAGAACUCGGGCACGUAAUGGAGGUUUUGGACCUGAUCUAGCGAGGGGGGAAAAUUUGGGAAGGCGAGAUGACGCGUUAUCCGUCUUAGUCUCUCUCCCCGAGCACGUGAUCCAAAGUAGAUAUUGUCAUAUAUCAGUUCGGAGCACUUCGCAGUCGUAGGAGGGGUUCUCUCUUAGGGACUCUUACCCCACCAAUCUGAAGAGGGUCACAGCGCCUGUUUACAAGAGUUUGAAGAAGUCAAUUCUUUUCCUGGCCAGGGCUGGGUAACAAGGCUCCCUUUCCCCUUUGGAGAGACUCCCUGGAAGUGUAUCUGAAGUUUCCCAAAGGACACAUCUGGGCAGCUGAAAAUCAGUUUAUUGAAAGGUUCUAGACUGGGUACCAGAGCAACUGCCCACAAGCAGAAAGCAACCUUGCAUCCAAGGAGGAGCCACCAGGGCAUGAUCCGUUCUGUUCAGAUCAGCAGGAGGAACUGAAACCCCCGGGAACGCAGUCCACUGCACCCUUAGGAAAAGCCAGUAAUGGCCCAAACCCUCUUUUAACCCCUAACUCUUGUUUAAAAUUGGUUUCCACUUUAAAAAUAUUAUUUGUAUUUGAUUUUCCUUGUUGAACUUGACAAGGUACUGAGGCCCCAAGAGUAGAUGGGGAAGACACAAAAAAUGGUACAUUGACCCCAAAUACAACCCCUCCCCAAAUCAUUCUUUCCCAACCCUCCUGUCUCCUCAAAUCUGCUUUAGAGCAACACCUGGGUUGGAACAGCCUUGGCCAUGGGUCCCAUUCUUGGGGGGGGGCUCUGGCAUACCCAGGGAUAGGUCUCUGGCAUCCCUCUACCCAUUCAUUGCUGGGCACUGCCUCCCGAGCCCUCCUUUAGUCCUGGCUGGAUCUUAACU